RNAcentral lists this ribosomal RNA (426 nucleotides) under uncultured bacterium. Its description in RNAcentral is "bacterial SSU rRNA". It matches the Rfam family "Bacterial small subunit ribosomal RNA", at positions 506 to 930 of the family's 1533-position model. The record is from RNAcentral.
CGCCAGCAGCCGCGGUAAAACGUAGGAGGCAAGCGUUAUCCGAAUUUACUGGGUGUAAAGCGCGUGCAGGCGGUUCGGUAAGUUGGAUGUGAAAUCUCCUGGCUCAACUGGGAGAGGUCGUUCAAUACUGCCGGGCUCGAGGGUGGUAGAGGGAGGUGGAAUUCCGGGUGUAGUAGUGAAAUGCGUAGAUAUCCGGAGGAACACCUGUGGCGAAAGCGGCCUCCUGGACCACACCUGACGCUCAGACGCGAAAGCUAGGGGAGCGAACGGGAUUAGAAACCCCGGUAGUCCUAGCCGUAAACGAUGUGAACUUGGUAUCGGUGGGGUAAAAGCCAUCGGCGCCGAAGCCAACGCGAUAAGUUCACCACCUGGGGACUACGGCCGCAAGGUUAAAACUCAAAGGAAUUGACGGGGGCCCGCACAAGC